GAUGCUGUGGCCUAGUGGGUAAAGCUGUGGCUUGUGAUGCCAGAAUCCCAUGUAGGUGCAGGUUCGAGUCCUGGCUGCUCCA
RNAcentral lists this transfer RNA (82 nucleotides) under Oryctolagus cuniculus (rabbit). It matches the Rfam family "tRNA". Rfam says of the family: Transfer RNA (tRNA) molecules are approximately 80 nucleotides in length. Their secondary structure includes four short double-helical elements and three loops (D, anti-codon, and T loops). Lineage: Eukaryota; Metazoa; Chordata; Mammalia; Lagomorpha; Leporidae. The record is from Rfam by way of RNAcentral.